GACGAACGCUGGCGGCGUGCUUAACACAUGCAAGUCGAACGGAAAGGCCCUGCUUUUGUGGGGUGCUCGAGUGGCGAACGGGUGAGUAACACGUGAGUAACCUGCCCUUGACUUUGGGAUAACUUCAGGAAACUGGGGCUAAUACCGGAUAGGAGCUCCUGCUGCAUGGUGGGGGUUGGAAAGUUUCGGCGGUUGGGGAUGGACUCGCGGCUUAUCAGCUUGUUGGUGGGGUAGUGGCUUACCAAGGCUUUGACGGGUAGCCGGCCUGAGAGGGUGACCGGCCACCUUGGGACUGAGAUACGGCGCAGACUCCUACGGGAGGCAGCAGUGGGGAAUAUUGCACAAUGGGCGGAAGCGUGAUGCGGCAACGCCGCGUGCGGGAUGACGGCCUUCGGGUUGUAAACCGCUUUCGCCUGUGACGAAGCGUGAGUGACGGUAAUGGGUAAAGAAGCACCGGCUAACUACGUG
RNAcentral lists this ribosomal RNA (468 nucleotides) under uncultured bacterium. Its description in RNAcentral is "partial 16S ribosomal RNA". It matches the Rfam family "Bacterial small subunit ribosomal RNA", at positions 28 to 507 of the family's 1533-position model. The record is from RNAcentral.